GCGGUGCAUUAGCUAGUUGGUAGGGUAACGGGCCUACCCAAGGCGAUGAUGCAUAGCCCGAGUUGAGAGACUGAUCGGGCCACAUUGAGACUGAGACACGGGCCCAAACUCCUACGGGAGCAGCAGUAGGGGAAUCUUCCACAAUGGACGCAAAGUCUGAUGGAGCAAAACGCCGCGUGAGUGAAGAAGGGUUUCGGCUCGUAAAAGCUCUGUUGUUGGUGAAGAAGGACAGGGGUAGUAACUGACCCUUUUGUUUGACGGUAAUCAAUUUAGAAAGUCACGGGCUAACUACGUGCCCAGCAGCCGCGGUAAAU
RNAcentral lists this ribosomal RNA (314 nucleotides) under uncultured Lactobacillales bacterium. RNAcentral's name for it is "bacterial SSU rRNA". It matches the Rfam family "Bacterial small subunit ribosomal RNA", at positions 233 to 525 of the family's 1533-position model. Lineage: Bacteria; Bacillati; Bacillota; Bacilli; Lactobacillales. The record is from RNAcentral.